UUUGGAGAGUUUGAUCCUGGCUCAGAGUGAACGCUGGCGGCAUGGUUAAGACAUGCAAGUCGAACGAAAAGCAAAUCUUCGGAUUUGUGGAAAGUGGCGAACGGGUGCGUAACACGUGAGCAACCUGCCCUAAAGUGCGGAACAGCCUGUCGAAAGAUGGAUUAAUGCCGCAUGUGGCUCUUCUUCGCAUGGAGAAGUAGCUAAAGCUUGUAAUGGCGCUUUAGGAUGGGCUCGCGGCCUAUCAGCUUGUUGGUAAGGUAACGGCUUACCAAGGCUAAGACGGGUAGCUGGUCUGAGAGGAUGAUCAGCCACACCGGGACUGAGACACGGCCCGGACACCUACGGGUGGCAGCAGUUUCGAAUCAUUCACAAUGGGCGAAAGCCUGAUG
Molecule: ribosomal RNA, 389 nt
Filed under: Opitutia bacterium
Lineage: Bacteria; Pseudomonadati; Verrucomicrobiota; Opitutia
Description: bacterial SSU rRNA
Rfam family: Bacterial small subunit ribosomal RNA
Source: RNAcentral